UUAUAUUUGAGAGUUUCUUGCAGGCGUCCUUUGUCAAAGAUGCACCAAUUUCUGUCAACCGUGUAACAUGGAAUUCUGAUGGAAGUCUUGUGGGAGGUGCAUUUAAUAAGCAUUUGGUUCACCUGUAUGCUUAUAAUGGAUCAAAUGAUCUACGCCAGCAGUUAGAGAUUGAUGCUCACGUUGGGGGUGUUAAUGACUUGGCUUUUGCUCAUCCAAACAAACAACUGUGUGUUGUAACCUGUGGAGAUGAUAAGCUAAUAAAGGUAAA
Molecule: non-coding RNA, 268 nt
Organism: Jatropha curcas
Lineage: Eukaryota; Viridiplantae; Streptophyta; Magnoliopsida; Malpighiales; Euphorbiaceae
Source: RefSeq, a predicted model, not a curated record